UACGUAGGGUGCGAGCGUUAAUCGGAAUUACUGGGCGUAAAGCGGGCGCAGGCGGUUUUGUAAGACAGAUGUGAAAUCCCCGGGCUUAACCUGGGAAUGGCAUUUGGGACUGCAAGGCUUGAGUGCGGCAGAGGAGACUGGAAUUCCUGGUGUAGCAGUGAAAUGCGUAGAUAUCAGGAGGAACACCGAUGGCGAAGGCAGGUCUCUGGGCUGACACUGACGCUCAUGCACGAAAGCGUGGGGAGCAAACAGG
This 253-nucleotide ribosomal RNA is filed under the name uncultured bacterium. RNAcentral's name for it is "partial 16S ribosomal RNA". It matches the Rfam family "Bacterial small subunit ribosomal RNA", at positions 524 to 776 of the family's 1533-position model. The record is from RNAcentral.